UUUCCCACUCACCCUCCUAAAAGGGUAAAGAUUUAUCAACCAAAUUCUUUUAAAUAAGCCAUAAUUAUACUAUAUGUCAUCAUCAUAAGCACUGGUAUCAAUUGUUUUAAUAGCAUUUCUUCUAAUAUCUAGUACUUAGUUUAACACAAAAUAAAUUACUCAGUAUUCCAAUCAAGCGCUUAUCUAAAUAGUGUGUAACAGCCUAUGGAAAUCUUCUUUAAGCCCUUCUAAUACUUUUGGUUAUUUUGGAAGUCUCCUAUUGUGAAUGGCUAGCUUAAAAUUCCUCACAUUUGGUAAAUGGGAAACCUAUAUUCUAUUUGUAAUUAGACAAUCAUCAUACUAUAUUACAAACAAUUCAAUUCAAACAUACAAACAAAAUAAGUCAUUCAAACAAAAAAAUUAAAAUAACCCAACAUGACUUUUGAAGUAACUCUACCAUGCAACUUAAUAAAAUUAAAGAUUAGCUACUAACUUUAUUAUCGAAUUAUUUAGAGAUGAGGUAAAGGUACUAAACUUAGAAAUUGAAAUUGAAAUAUUAAACAAAGUAAGAAAAUUAAAGAGUUAUAUUUAGCUCAAGAAUAAAUGACUUAACUUUUCAAGUAUUAGCUUCUAACUGAUCAUAAGUUUUUCAACUUAACUUGUGCCGACGCAAACCUCAUGUUCUUCAAGCUCCAACCUUCAAGCGCAUGCCAUUUUUCAGAAAUUAGAGUUUAUAAAUUUUUAAUUUCUAAUUAGCAAACAAAAGAAGGAAAAUAACCGAACAUGACUUUUGAAGGAACACUAGCAUGCAACUUAAUAAAAUUAAAAAUUAGCAACUAAGCCUAUCAUGGAAUUAUUUAAAGACGAGGUAGAGGUACUAAUCUUAGAAAUAGAUAUUGAAAUAGUAAACAAAAUAAGAAAAUUAAAAAGUCAUAUUUAGCUAAAGAAUAAAGAACUUAACCUUUCAAGUAUCAGCUUCUAACUGAUCAUAAGUUUUUCAACUUAACUUGUGCCGACGCAAACCUUAUGUUCUUCGAUUUCCAACCUUCAAGCGCAUGCCAUUUUUCAAAAAUUAGAGUUUAUAAAUUUUCUAUUUCUAAUUAGCAAACAAAAGAAGUAAAAUAACCCAACAUGACUUUUGAAGGAACACCACCAUUCAACUUAAUAAAAUUAAAGAU
RNAcentral lists this long non-coding RNA (1157 nucleotides) under Ricinus communis (castor bean). RNAcentral describes it as "long non-coding RNA (RCOM_LNC003543)". The record is from RNAcentral. Lineage: Eukaryota; Viridiplantae; Streptophyta; Magnoliopsida; Malpighiales; Euphorbiaceae.